This is a small nucleolar RNA of Antechinus flavipes (yellow-footed antechinus), 247 nucleotides long. RefSeq annotates it as small nucleolar RNA SNORD17. The transcript has a single exon. NCBI's taxonomy places the organism in Eukaryota, Metazoa, Chordata, Mammalia, Dasyuromorphia, Dasyuridae. The record is from RefSeq and is a predicted model, not a curated record.
GUGAAAUGAUGACGAAGUUUAUCCAUUCUCUGAGAUCACUGUACAUUAACCUUCUUGUAGCACUGUGUUCCUGUUUUAGGAACUCCGGGCUACACAGGCUCCAAAUGCCAGCAGUCUUGCAGUGUUCUACUGUAGACCGUUGGUGUGGGUGGUAGCAUUUAGGAAGGAAUGGAUAGUGUCAGCAGAGGUGGAACCUCAUCCAGUGGAGGUCUUCUCUUGCCAAGAUGAAUAAUGGGAGUCUGAUCAC